AGAGUUUGAUCAUGGCUCAGGAUGAACGCUGGCGGCGUGCCUAACACAUGCAAGUCGAACGGAGUUAAACGCUGAACGGAAGUCAGCUUGCUGAAAGAAGUUCUUGUUUAACUUAGUGGCGGACGGGUGAGUAAUGUGUGAGCAACCUGCCUUACAGAGGGGGAUAACACUCUGAAAACGAGUGCUAAUACCGCAUGAAGCGAGAAUAUCGCAUGAUAAUUUCGUUAAAGGAGCAAUCCGCG
This 242-nucleotide ribosomal RNA is filed under the name uncultured bacterium. Its description in RNAcentral is "partial 16S ribosomal RNA". It matches the Rfam family "Bacterial small subunit ribosomal RNA", at positions 8 to 219 of the family's 1533-position model. The record is from RNAcentral.